RNAcentral lists this ribosomal RNA (494 nucleotides) under uncultured bacterium. RNAcentral describes it as "partial 16S ribosomal RNA". It matches the Rfam family "Bacterial small subunit ribosomal RNA", at positions 28 to 507 of the family's 1533-position model. The record is from RNAcentral.
GACGAACGCUGGCGGCGUGCUUAACACAUGCCAGUCGAACGGAAAGGCCUGCUUUCCCUUGUGGAUUGCGGGUACUCGAGUGGCGAACGGGUGAGUAACACGUGAGUGAUCUGCCCCCAACUUGGGUAUAAGCCUGGGAAACUGGGUCUAAUUCCCGAUAGGACUGCAGGGUGGUGCCUGUGGUGGAAAACGAUUUUCUAGUGGUUGGGGAUGAGCUCGCGGCCUAUCAGCUUGUUGGUGGGGUAAUGGCCUACCAAGGCGGCGACGGGUAGCCGGCCUGAGAGGGUGGACGGGCACAGUGGGACUGAGACACGGCCCAGAAUACUACGGGAGGCAGCAGUGGGGAAUAUUGCACAAUGGGCGGAAGCCUGAGGCAGCGACGCCGCGUGGGGGAUGACGGCCUUCGGGUUGUAAACUCCUUGCGACCGCGAGGAAGCCACCUGGUUGGAAGGGUGGUGACGGUAGUGGUAGAAGAAGCACCGGCUAACUACGUG